AUUGAACGCUGGCGGCAGGCCUAACACAUGCAAGUCGAACGGUAACAGGAAGCAGCUUGCUGCUUCGCUGACGAGUGGCGGACGGGUGAGUAAUGUCUGGGAAACUGCCUGAUGGAGGGGGAUAACUACUGGAAACGGUAGCUAAUACCGCAUAACGUCGCAAGACCAAAGAGGGGGACCUUCGGGCCUCUUGCCAUCGGAUGUGCCCAGAUGGGAUUAGCUAGUAGGUAAGGUAACGGCUUACCAAGGCGAUGAUGCAUAGCCGACCUGAGAGGGUGAUCGGCCACAUUGGGACUGAGACACGGCCCAA
RNAcentral lists this ribosomal RNA (310 nucleotides) under uncultured bacterium. RNAcentral describes it as "bacterial SSU rRNA". It matches the Rfam family "Bacterial small subunit ribosomal RNA", at positions 30 to 334 of the family's 1533-position model. The record is from RNAcentral.